CCACCUUUUACUCAAAACAUCAGACAUUUUGUCAUACCAGAAAAUUUGAGGCCUGCUCAAAUGCUAGGCUGUCAAAAAACCACCUGGUCAGCAUCUGUAUUCCAGUGAAAAACAACAUUUUGCCAUCUUUGAAGAAGAUUCCGGUGUUCCAUUUGAAAUUGACAGUGCUACUGAGAGGAUGCAGAGGUGGGCUCAUUUGUGCAUCACAUAGUUGCCCAGGAUCCAGACCAAGGGAGGAAUGGACAAGUCAUGUACCAUCUUCUAUCAAACAGUGAAGACCAGGGCUUUGUUAUAAAUAAAAAUACAGGAGUGCUAAGUACUGUCAUUGCUUUGGACCAUGAACGCCGAGAAUAUUACAAUUUGACAGUUGUAUGAUGGCACUCCAGCUCUGUCUGCAACUCAGAGUCUGACACUAAUUGUCCUUGAUGUAAAUGAUGAGGCACCAAUAUUUACAAAAACUGUGUAUGAAGCAUCUAUCUAUGAAAAUACAGCUCCAGGAGCAGUUGUCAUCAAA
Molecule: long non-coding RNA, 514 nt
Organism: Sceloporus undulatus (fence lizard)
Lineage: Eukaryota; Metazoa; Chordata; Lepidosauria; Squamata; Phrynosomatidae
Exons: 3
Source: RefSeq, a predicted model, not a curated record